AUUGAACGCUGGCGGCAUGCCUUACACAUGCAAGUCGAACGGCAGCACGGGUGCUUGCACCUGGUGGCGAGUGGCGAACGGGUGAGUAAUACAUCGGAACGUACCUUAUCGUGGGGGAUAACGCAGCGAAAGUUGCGCUAAUACCGCAUACGCCCUGAGGGGGAAAGCGGGGGACCGUAAGGCCUCGCGCGAUUAGAGCGGCCGAUGUCUGAUUAGCUUGUUGGUGAGGUAAAAGCCCACCAAGGCGACGAUCAGUAGCUGGUCUGAGAGGACGAUCAGCCACACUGGGACUGAGACACGGCCCAGACUCCUACGGGAGGCAGCAGUGGGGAAUUUUGGACAAUGGGGGCAACCCUGAUCCAGCAAUGCCGCGUGAGUGAAGAAGGCCUUCGGGUUGUAAAGCUCUUUUGUCAGGGAAGAAACAGCAGCUCUAACACAGUCUGCGAAUGACGGUACCUGAAGAAUAAGCACCGGCUAACUACGUG
This 485-nucleotide ribosomal RNA is filed under the name uncultured bacterium. RNAcentral's name for it is "bacterial SSU rRNA". It matches the Rfam family "Bacterial small subunit ribosomal RNA", at positions 30 to 507 of the family's 1533-position model. The record is from RNAcentral.